RNAcentral lists this ribosomal RNA (365 nucleotides) under uncultured eukaryote. RNAcentral's name for it is "partial 18S ribosomal RNA". It matches the Rfam family "Eukaryotic small subunit ribosomal RNA", at positions 592 to 976 of the family's 1831-position model. The record is from RNAcentral.
CAAUAGCGUAUAUUUAAGUUGUUGCAGUUAAAAAGCUCGUAGUCGGAUUUUGGCUGAGAACGAUCGGUCCGCCGUUAGGUGUGCACUGAUUGGUCUCAGCUUCCUGGUGAGGAGGUGUGCUUCACGGCCACUUAGUCACCGUGGUUACUUUGAAAAAAUUAGAGUGUUCAAAGCGGGCUUACGCUUGAAUAUAUUAGCAUGGAAUAACACCAUAGGACUCCUGUCCUAUUUCGUUGGUCUCGGGACGGGAGUAAUGAUUAAGAGGAACAGUUGGGGGCAUUCGUAUUUCAUUGUCAGAGGUGAAAUCCUUGGAUUUAUGAAAGACGAACUUCUGCGAAAGCAUUUGCCAAGGAUGUUUUCAUUGA